This 498-nucleotide long non-coding RNA is filed under the name Phoenix dactylifera (date palm). RNAcentral's name for it is "long non-coding RNA (PDAC_LNC008034)". The record is from RNAcentral. Lineage: Eukaryota; Viridiplantae; Streptophyta; Magnoliopsida; Arecales; Arecaceae.
GCGAGGCCCGGAUGUACGGACUCUCUACUUCACACGCACGCCAAGAAAUGCAAGAAGGUAGGAUGAUGUCUGUAUAGUGCAAAAACCCUUUUGCAAAUAAACCCCUGGAAGAAAAGAAUUUCAAAAAUUCUUUCUUCCUGUUUUUUUCUUUCUUUUCCUCUUUCUUCCCGUUUCCUUUUUCUCUCUUUUACAGGCUACUCAAAAGAUCAUGAAUCUCCCCUCUCCCCAAAUAAAAUUUCUAGCUAUGAAUGAAAAGAAAGCUAGCCUAUUUAUAGGCAAAGACAAGGCUGAACCAGGGAAGAGAAAACGCCAAAAGGGAAGAGUGAACGCCAAACGUUUCAUGAUUUUAUUGAAUUUUUUGAACCGUUUGAUUUCAAUUAAAUCAGUACUAUAUUAAAGAGGUUUCAAAACCGAAGAGACACGUCUCUUCGGAUCUUCAAAUGGUAGCCGAAAGAGGGAAGAUCAAGCGGCCUUCGAUGUGUUCGGAAGAAGAAGAAG